GAUGAACGCUGGCGGCGUGCCUAAUACAUGCAAGUCGAGCGAACAGAUGAGGAGCUUGCUCCUCUGACGUUAGCGGCGGACGGGUGAGUAACACGUGGAUAACCUACCUAUAAGACUGGGAUAACUUCGGGAAACCGGAGCUAAUACCGGAUAAUAUAUUGAACCGCAUGGUUCAAUAGUGAAAGACGGUUUUGCUGUCACUUAUAGAUGGAUCCGCGCCGCAUUAGCUAGUUGGUAAGGUAACGGCUUACCAAGGCGACGAUGCGUAGCCGACCUGAGAGGGUGAUCGGCCACACUGGAACUGAGACACGGUCCAGACUCCUACGGGAGGCAGUAGUAGGGAAUCUUCCGCAAUGGGCGAAAGCCUGACGGAGCAACGCCGCGUGAGUGAUGAAGGUCUUCGGAUCGUAAAACUCUGUUAUUAGGGAAGAACAAAUGUGUAAGUAACUAUGCACGUCUUGACGGUACCUAAUCAGAAAGCCACGGCUAACUACGUG
Molecule: ribosomal RNA, 497 nt
Filed under: uncultured bacterium
Lineage: Bacteria
Description: partial 16S ribosomal RNA
Rfam family: Bacterial small subunit ribosomal RNA
Source: RNAcentral